CGCGUAGGCGGUUUUUUAAGUCAGAUGUGUAAUCCCCGAGCUUAACUUGGGAACUGCAUCUGAGACUGGAAGGCUAGAGUACUGGAGAGGGUGGUGGAAUUCCUCGUGUAGCGGUGAAAUGCGUAGAGAUGAGGAGGAACACCAGUGGCGAAGGCGGCCACCUGGACAGUAACUGACGCUGAGGCGCGAAAGUGUGGGUAGCAAACAGGAUUAGAUACCCUGGUAGUCCACGCUGUAAACGAUGAACACUUGGUGUGGAGGGAGUUGACCCCUUCCGUGCCGGAGCUAACGCGUUAAGUGUUCCGCCGUGGGGAGUACGGUCGACAAGGCUGAA
RNAcentral lists this ribosomal RNA (334 nucleotides) under uncultured bacterium. RNAcentral describes it as "bacterial SSU rRNA". It matches the Rfam family "Bacterial small subunit ribosomal RNA", at positions 568 to 898 of the family's 1533-position model. The record is from RNAcentral.